Oncorhynchus tshawytscha (Chinook salmon) is the source of this 644-nucleotide long non-coding RNA. The record is from Ensembl. Lineage: Eukaryota; Metazoa; Chordata; Actinopteri; Salmoniformes; Salmonidae.
GUUAGCAUUUUUAUUCUCUCUCUCUUGCUGAAGAACAUACAACAGUGUUUGCAAUUAAAGGGUUCAACAUGAAAUAUGAUUGCAGGACCACAGGGGUUCAGGGGGAGCAAGGUUCAAGCUAAGCAUCUUGAUAUUUCCAACAUUAAUAAAUAUUACAGGGGUACGUACUGUAUGGACCUCUGUCAAUCUCCUAGAGAGAUCCACCACUCAGAGGGCCCUUGCUUGUGGAGAGUCAGGAACAUGAUUGGCUGAGCAGUUGUGGGAGUUGUCAGGCAGUGGCAAUCCUACAGAGAUCAAGGAGCAGAGGAUAUUUCCAACAAAAUAAAAUGUUUGUAUGACAAAUGGGUCUGGAGAAUUGAGCAGUUGGAGGAGAGGAGAUGCAUCUGCAGUAAUGCCAGAUGCCAUUUCAGCAGUAACUGACGGGGGACUCUUUCUCAGCUGGGUAGAGGUGACUGACACUGUGACUCUUUCUCAGCUGGGUAGAGGUGACUGACACGGUGACUCUUUCUCAGCUGGGUAGAGGUGACUGACACAGUGACUCUUUCUCAGCUGGGUAGAGGUGACUGACACAGUGACUCUUUCUCAGCUGGGUAGAGGUGACUGACACGGUGACUCUUUCUCAGCUGGGUAGAGGUGACUGACAC